Long non-coding RNA from Columba livia (rock pigeon), 7561 nucleotides. RefSeq lists it as uncharacterized. The transcript has 3 exons. The record is from RefSeq and is a predicted model, not a curated record. NCBI's taxonomy places the organism in Eukaryota, Metazoa, Chordata, Aves, Columbiformes, Columbidae.
UAGUCGUUGAGAAGAAGUACCAUUUCUGGGGGAAAAAAAUAACUAAAAGGAGGAGGAGAUUACUCUAAAGUUAUCAGACCUUUAAUUCAUCUGAUUUACUACAAUGGUGAAAUGUAACAAGAAAACAGCUAACUAGAAACUAAAUAUUUCAACGGAUGUUGAAAUACUUCAACAAGUAAAUUUUAAACUCCACUGCUAUGGAUCAAUCCAGAGGUGAUUCUCCAGCAACUACUUCAGCCUCAGGUAUUUUGCUGCAACUCCUGAAGAAGUUUCGAAAUAACAGAAAAGGCUGUUGAAGGGUGAUAUUGCAAAUGUGUGUCCAUAUAAAUAGCUGUUAGAGGAAAGAUAGUCUCAGAUUAAAUUUAGUAUCUUAGUAUGGGAUAUGUGUUCAAUAUCUCUCUAUCCUACUUCUCUAGGAUUCUCAUUUAUCCCUAAAGGCCAUAUUAUUACAUUGUAUUAUAUUAUCUUAUGCUAUAUUAUAUAAAUAUUAUUUGUGAAUGAUCACAGUAUAAGAAGCAGAAAGAAUUUACUACCUGUAAUAUUAUAGUGUUUCUCACAUUAAUUAAAAAAAUAAUAAUAGGGUCUUACAGAUGACAAUUUUUAAAGGUUGAUACAUUCUGAGCUACAAAUUUUAAGCCCAGGGGAAGCUGGAUUUUUUUUUUUCCACCCCAUUAGCUACUAAUUGUGCAGGUCAAUAAGCCUGACUCAUCAUUACCCAUGUUUUGCAGAACAUGAAGCCUUUUUCCCAUGCCAUCAUUUAUCAGUAUUAGGACACCGGCCUAGUGGAAAACCCAUACGCUAUUAAGAGUUGUGUCUGGGAUUAUAUUCUUUUGCAAAUCAAUAAUUGGUUUUAAGAUCUGAAGUCACAGAAGCUGCAUACUAUCACCUUAACUUCCUAAAUAACAUAAUGGCACAGUCUAUUAGUGAUACUGGCACUGCUGCAUCAGCAUGCAGUCUUUGCUUCAGUGACUGUAUAAAAAUAUUUUGUCUUUCACUGUACGUCAUGGUUUAAUCUGAGCCAGCACACAGCUCCUCACUCACUCUCCCCCAGUGGGAUGGGGAAGAGAAUCAGAAGAGUAAAAGUGAGAAAACUCAUGGGUUGAGAUGAAGACAGUUUAAUAAGUAAAGCAAAAGCCACAUAUGCAAGCAAAGCAAAACAAGGGUUUCUCAUCCACCACUCCCCACCAGCAGGCAGGUGUUCAGCUAUCUCGAGGAACGUUGGGUUCCAUCAUGCAUAACAGUUACUUGGAAAGAUGAACACCAUCACUGUAAACAUCUCACCCCUUCCUUCUUCUUCCCCCAGGUUUAUAUGCUGAGCAUGACGCCAUAUGGCAUAGAAUAUCCAUUUGGUCAGUUGAGGUCUGCUGCCCUGAUUGUGUCGCCUCCCAACUUCUUAUGCACUCCCAGCUUACUCGCUAGUGGAGUGGUGUCAGAAGCAGAGAAGGCCUUGACUCUGUGUAUACACUGCUCAGCAAGAAUGAGAAAAUUGCUGUAUAUCAACAUCAUUUUAAGCACAAAUCCAAAACAUGGCCCCAUACCAACUAUUAUGAAGAAAAGCUUCUAACUGUAUGGAAAAUUAACUCUGUUUCAGCUAACCCACCACACAGUAGCAAUGCCAUUACAUGUACUUUGGUUCAUAGUUACUAUGGUGGGUAGAGUAUGCUAUUAUUCAGUCUUGGGAUUUGUGACCUUAAGAGAGAUUAUGUAACUUUAACCAGAAACUUAUAUAUAUUUGUAAAGCACCUCAAAAAUCCAUGCAAAUUUGAGUUCAGGGGAUCAGUGAUCUUAUUCUACUUGAUUUUUCUACUUUGUCCUGUUCCUUCCCAGAAAAAAAGUCCCUGAUGGUAACAUCAGUCAAAGCUAUCUCCUCAAAAUGCAUAGGGGAGAAAAGGAGGUAAAGGCCUGUGUUCCUUCUAAAUUAGUGGAUUACAACAAAUAUUUUGGAUUAGAAAACUGGAAAUUGAUUAGGUUGGAGUUUGGACACGUGUUGCUAUUUCAAGCCUGCUGGGAAAGCAGAUACACAAUUUUGUAAAUGUUCAGAGGAAAGUGCUUUGAAAGUAAGGGAAUGAGGGAUAUCUCUUUUAACAUGAGAUAAAUCCCCUUACAGAACUGUACAAAUUUGCCUGUAUCCACCACAACUUAUGCAAUACUUUAUUCUACUGGCCUGAAAGCCAAGAGAUUAGUGAAGGAGGUUCACAUCUAACUUUGCAGUUUAGCUCUAUUAACAUCUAUCCUGGCCUUGGUAAACUGCAGAGAUGUUAGCCAGUUGUUGAACCCUACUCCUUUUCUGAAGUUAAAAAUCAUGUUUCUUUUCCUGUUCUGGCCUUAUCACUUUUCAUAAUUUUAUCUCAAAUCAUAAGAUACCCACUGUUUUGUUUUAACACUGUAGCUGCCACUGCCACAUGGUUACAUAUUAAAGUCACCUUCUGUUUUAAGCCAAAAGUGAGUCUUUGUCAUUCCUGGAUAUGAGUUCAAGCCAGCCUCAAUACAGCAGAGAACCCUAGUUCACUAAAUACCUUUACAUGUUACACUGAUAGUCCUGCAGUUUGUUACUGUUUGUAGUCUAUUUUGUUCUUUUCACAUCCAGUUCCUAUUUACCAGUAACAUACAUCCACCUACUUUAAUCUUCUAUUGCUAUUAAUGAGCAACUGCCAGAGGCACUUCCCAGAAUGCCUGGAGCUUUAAACACUUGGGUUUUUUUGUUUGUUUGUUCAGUUGGUUGGGUUUUGUUUUUUGUUUUUUGUUUGUUUGUUUGUUUUUUGCUUUGUUUUGUUUUGAUUGUUUGUUUGGUUGGUUGGGUUUUUUUUUUGGUAAGUCAUACUACUAAUACAGAGUAAAGAAAAUACAUCUGCUACUCUGUCACAUAUGCUGAGUCUAUACAGAUCUUACAAUGAGAUAUGUAACAGUGAUUACAGGAAAAUUAAACUUUGAUUGUUGUCAAAUAUUUGUCGUACUAGAGAAAAUUCUUACGCAGCCCACAAAACUAAUACACCUGUAUCUAAUAAGUAGUUUUUGCUUCAAUGUGGUAUUAUAUGUAUUUACAUGUAAAUGUUUUAUUCUUCUUGCAUCAGAAGUAUUUGCAGCAUACAGAUUCAUUAAAUGAAACAACAGAAUGUGAACAUAUAUUUAAUGUUUUAACAUCCUGAGCACUGAAGCAGAGCAUAAUGGGUUAAAGUAAUAAACACAUUAGACCUGAAUAAUGUAACUGAUUCCUCAUUCUAAACAAAUUUAUACAGUUCCGUGCUUCAUAAAUCAAUUCCAGCCAUUGUUUUUUUCCAACUUCUAAAUCUAUCCUUAAUUCUAAAUGGUGUUUUCUGUGUUUCCUAUUUUGUAACCUUUCCACAUAAUUUAUUCUCUCUCUAUGCUCAUCUUCUAUAUUACUUGCCCUUUAUAAUUUUCUUAUGUUUGUUUGCUAGUUGAAGUGCUAUUCACACAACAAUCUCACAGACCUCUUGUUUUAAAAUUGUUCAGGAAGAAGUAUUCGAAAAUAAUCAAUAUCUGAAAUUGGGAUGUCAUUGGUUAUCUUUGACUGAAUACAUGAAGCAUGUAGUAUAUUUUGUUCCAGAACUGAAUCAGCAUUACUUUUCUGUUCUGGUAAAAAUAAUUGUAUUUACAAAUGUCUACAAAUAUAUUUCAUUUAAAUGAACUCUUUGAGCGAACAAUCUGCUAGUAAACUUUUUUGUGAUAAUGGUCAGAAACAGGAAUAUGGAAAGUUAAUACUGAAGAUGAAGAGAAUUUUAGUUACAAUUUUGAGCUACUUUUAUAAUUUGCUCCGCUCUAGUUUCAGCUAACGGAAAAAGAUAAGCCUGUGCCUCAGAGUUGUUGCUGAAAUUGUGGGAACUGCCAAGUACAGCAGUCUGUCAGGAAUACAAUGUUUCCCAUUGUCACUUGUUAAAUCAGCUUUCAAGGAUUAUAAAAAUAAAUAUUAUUUCCAAAUAGUAUAUGCAAUAAUCACCAAUACAAAGCUCUGUUCCAAUCUGUGAAAAGAGAUUCUGAAAUAUGUAUCUAUCAUAUCCUGAGGCAAUUCUAUAUUUAGCAUAAUAAAUUUUGUAAGAAUCCAAGGUCAUUAGGAAGAGCCAUUUAAAUAACAUUAAUCCUUGAUUUAAAAGUCAUCAUAGAUAUUUGGAAUCUAACAUAUUGCCAUUCAGCUCUCAAGACUUGGUAUGUUAAAUUCUGACCUGAGCUAUAGGAAAAGUGCAGCUAGUGUACAUACAGCAACAAGAAUAUCUAGAAGUAUCAGUGAAGCAGAGCAAGUUUUCUGUUCUUCAUUAGCACAAAGAAGCUGUUGGAAAGUUUACAAAUGCACAAAUGUGAGAAACCAUGGUCUGUAGAAAAUUAAGUUAGACAGCUGGCAUUGACCAAGUGCCUGAUCCCAGUGACUACAGUGCCAGAUCACUGAGGCAAAAGAGGAUUACUCACAGUGGUGUAUUCCUCAUUAAAUAAAUUCUUAAUGAAUAAGUUUAUUUUGCCAUCAGUUGUCACUACAAUGAGCAGAAAGCUUUGAAAUAAAUUGUGGUAUAGAGGCCCUAAUCCUUUUCAGAGCCUAUAAAGACAUGAAUAUGAGAAUAGCUGAUGUGUUUUUUAAAGGAUAUGUAACAGCAGUCUUAAUGAUUUCUGACAUUACAGUCAUUAUAUCAUUAGAUUCCUUGUCAGAAAAAGAGUAACAACCAAUCAAACAAAAAACUAGUCACAUUUAUUUUAUUCUUAAUCCAGUUCAACUGUUCUUCAUUAAAAGCAGUUGAAAGACUGGCUAAAAGUAUGUAGGCAACACCUUCAACUGGAGAAGAGUUGUUUAGGACACCAUGUUUCAAAAAAGCUGUGGCCCAAAUGGAGAAAAUCCAGAGAGGAAUAACAAGUAAGGUCAACAAUGUAAAAACUGUGAUUAUGAGGAAAGAAAGAACUGUGGCUGUUUAGUGUGAAGAAGAGUAUACAGGAGAAUGUAACAACAGUCUUUGAAUACAAAAAAAUAUUACUGCAAACAAGAAGAAGAAUGGAAAAAUCUGUUCACAUCUCAGCUGGGAAUACAACUAUAAAUAAUGGGAUUAAAGCAAUUGAAUUUAGACAUUACCCAAAAUAUGAAACAUUACCAGAAAAAAAAAAAAAAAAAAAAAAAAGAAAAAAAGCUCUGGAAGUGAUUACCUGGGGAGGUUCUGGAUUACACAUUAUUAUAGGUUUUUGCAAACAGGUUUGGUGAAAAGCAGUAAGGAAUAACAACUGUAGAGGGAGAGGACAACUCUGCCAAUGGACAAUAUACUUCAGACAGUAAUCUAUCCCCGUAGAAGUCUUUUGGACCAUUUGUGAAAGAAAUCUUUCUCUUAGCAUCAGUUUCUCAUUUUGCUUUAGGUAUACAGUGAUUUUAACAAAUUAAGUUUAUGCCUGUGUGAACAAAUCAAGACUAAUGGGUUGCAACUGUUCAUUAUCAUUUAAAUGGAAGUGGUGCUUACCAAAACUUGCACAAGCAUAUUUUUGUAAAGGACUAAGAUGGGUACUGAUUGAAAAGACACAACCAAACAGAACAUCUGAUUGAGGGUGGCACCACCAGUUACAGCAAUCUGCUUUUAUUAAUUGCCCUGGCAAUUCCUGUCCACAGGGAACCCAGUGCUACAUGGAACUGUCUUCCUUCAGUUUUGUGCUAAUUAGGUGCUGUUAUCUGCCUCACACUUACCCUGAGCUAAAAUAUAGUGAUGGUCACUGUCCCAUCAUCAGCUCUUUCACACCACUUUCAAGGUGAGUUUCAUGAUAAAUGAUGCCAAUGUGUUAUACUGACAGGACAGAAUAAAUAUUACUUUUUUCGUUUGUGUUCUGUUAGCAGGAUAUUCGGUCAUGGACCAGGAUCCUAUUAUACCAGACACUGUACAAUCUGCAGUACAGAAAUGGUUGAUAGCCGUAAUCACUUUUUUCUUCUUUUUAACAUGAUCUGCUGAAUACUCUUGUUUUGAUAAGAAUUAAAAAUCCUUCACAGCUAGAGUGAGGUGUAGAGGAAUUUGCUGGUAGUUGGAAGCUCAUUUUCAUUACUACUUUAUGGGACUAGGAUAUGUAUAGAGAUAGAAUUAUAUUCUGCAUUCUGCUGGAAAUAUUUUGCAGUAUUCUAUGGGAAACUGUGUUGAGAUGCAGACAUUUCAAGGACUUCUGCUUUGAUGACUACUCAUAAGGAGUAAAGUCUGCAUAGACAGUUUUUAGGUCUCAUAUGACUUUAGAUGUCUAAAACCAUGUUGUAUAACCCCACACUGUUCAAUUUGUUUCCUUCAAAUUCAUUGCCCUGAAAUAGUCGCUUAAAGAGGAAAAUCCACCCUGUCCUAACAAAACUGACUAAGUUAGUGUGCCUACAGAAAUUACUGUGUAUCUCUUGAAUUUAGGUAACAAAAUCUUAAGAUGUCUUAAAUUGUGUACUGCCCUCCCUCCGUGCUGUAUCCUCUGCCUCUUUCAGGCACCUCCCCAUCUACUGUUCACCCAAGUGACUUUCUUGAAUCCUAACAUACAUAUCUUAAAAGGUGAAAUGAGUGGAAUGACACAAGUUGAACAACAACAACGUCUAUAUGAAAUUGAUUCUAUGUUUUUCGUCAGAGGAAUGUUUUUACCAUUCACUGCUGUAGCAUAAACUACCUGGUGGGGUGCUCACAUGAUGCACACUUGGGGUGGCUGUGAUAACCCCAGCUGUUAGGGUAGGACCAUGUGUGUGCAUCAGGGUGUGAGCGUGUCAUGUGCACAAGUCUGGAGGGAGGGUGUUUGCCUGAAAACCGACCUUGUUAAAGAGAGAAAUUCUGUUGAAUGGAAUAACAGAAAUAGGAAUACGGAAGGAGCCAGCCUGAAAAGCGGCACAGAGGCAGAAUGAAGAAUUGUCAAGUAGAGGGGACCUUGAAGGGGGACCAGCAGCAGCACCCCCUGGCCGGUCGCUGCCUCCAACAUCCCUGCCGCGCCCCGUCUCGACCGCCCUGGUCCGGGCAGCGCAGCCCGGCGGGCGCCGACAGCGGCCCCCGCCCCGGCAGGGGCCGGGCACCCGCGGGGACCCACUCCGGGGGAGAGGCGGUGCUUCUGGCCGUGAGCAGGGGGAGAUUGGGAUACCUGGGGGGUGCCGGAGGCGGGGCAUGUUCCUCAGGACUAGUCCCGGCGCCUGGGAAAUACAUAGCUGUUUAUUAGUGCUCUGUGUCUGAUAUCAUGAUUUAUUUGUGGUAUUACCAAUAUUGAUCCUGAGCGUAUAGUUCACUGAGGGUUAAUUACAUGUCAUUAAUAAAUUAAUAAAGUGUUUCGAUUCUGAUUCUGGCCUAAACUGUGUGAACUGACUAGCUUUUUCCUGGUGACUGUAUUUCCCAGGGAUGCAUGCUUAGCAACCUGUUACAAUUAGUGGAUUACUUGUACACAGUUCAAAUAAUAAAGGCAAACACUAUUGAUACCUAGCAGGAAUGGUGAGAACAUUAACUGUUUUAAAUUUUAUAUUGAAGUAAUGAGAAGCCUCACAAAGAAGCCUGAAAGACUUGGGAUUACUGAAGGAUUUUACUUCCACAUUUCUCUCAUCUGUAUUCACAAGACUAUUAGACUUAGUAUUUUUUAAUUAAUAUGUCAU